Non-coding RNA from Hammondia hammondi, 85 nucleotides. NCBI's taxonomy places the organism in Eukaryota, Apicomplexa, Conoidasida, Eucoccidiorida, Sarcocystidae. The record is from Rfam.
CCGGCGAUAGCUCAGUUGGUAGGGCGGCAGACUGUAGAGGAUUGCGGUGAUCUGUUGGUCCCUGGUUCGAUUCCGGGUCGCCGGA